UGCUCCUACAUGGUGUAACAAUACAUCAUGUAGAUGUAUAUAAUGAACAGACUAGGUCUAUACUGCUCCUACAUGGUGUAACAAUACAUCAUGUAGAUGUAUAUAAUGAACAGACUAGGUCUAUACUGCUCCUACAUGGUGUAACAAUACAUCAUGUAGAUGUAUAUAAUGACCAGACUAGGUCUAUACUGCUCCUACAUGGUGUAACAAUACAUCAUGUAGAUGUAUAUAAUGAACAGACUAGGUCUAUACUGCUCCUACAUGGUGUAACAAUACAUCAUGUAGAUGUAUAUAAUGAACAGACUAGGUCUAUACUGCUCCUACAUGGUGUAACAAUACAUCAUGUAUAUAAUGAACAGACUAGGUCUAUACUGCUCCUACAUGGUAUAACAAUACAUCAUGUAGAUGUAUAUAAUGAACAGACUAGGUCUAUACUGCUCCUACAUGGUGUAACAAUACAUCAUGUAGAUGUAUAUAAUGAACAGACUAGGUCUAUACUGCUCCUACAUGGUGUAACAAUACAUCAUGUAGAUGUAUAUAAUGAACAGACUAGGUCUAUACUGCUCCUACAUGGUGUAACAAUACAUCAUGUAGAUGUAUAUAAUGAACAGACUAGGUCUAUACUGCUCCUACACGGUGUAACAAUACAUCAUGUAGAUGUAUAUAAUGAACAGACUAGGUCUAUACUGCUCCUACAUGGUGUAACAAUACAUCAUGUAGAUGUAUAUAAUGAACAGACUAGGUCUAUACUGCUCCUACAUGGUGUAACAUCAUGUAGAUGUAUAUAAUGAACAGACUAGGUCUAUACUGCUCCUACAUGGUGUAACAAUACAUCAUGUAGAUGUAUAUAAUGAACAGACUAGGUCUAUACUGCUCCUACAUGGUGUAACAAUACAUCAUGUAGAUGUAUAUAAUGAACAGACUAGGUCUAUACUGCUCCUACAUGGUGUAACAUCAU
This is a long non-coding RNA of Oncorhynchus keta (chum salmon), 958 nucleotides long. RefSeq lists it as uncharacterized. The transcript is spliced from 5 exons. The record is from RefSeq and is a predicted model, not a curated record. NCBI's taxonomy places the organism in Eukaryota, Metazoa, Chordata, Actinopteri, Salmoniformes, Salmonidae.